GAUAGAGGCGCAGAGUUAAAGAGUAGCAUAUCCGAGGUUGCGAAACCAAAGACGGUAUGCGAAAGGGAACUUUGCCGAAACGGAGACCGGUUCGCAACGGUAUUCAGUUGGGCGUAAGGAUAACAUCCUUUCGACUGUCGCGCAAGCGGGGAGCUAUCGGA
This 161-nucleotide non-coding RNA is filed under the name human gut metagenome. Its description in RNAcentral is "Lysine riboswitch". It matches the Rfam family "Lysine riboswitch aptamer". From Rfam's summary of the family: Riboswitches are metabolite binding domains within certain messenger RNAs that serve as precision sensors for their corresponding targets. Allosteric rearrangement of mRNA structure is mediated by ligand binding, and this results in modulation of gene expression. This family includes riboswitches that sense lysine in a number of genes involved in lysine metabolism, including lysC. The record is from RNAcentral.